Molecule: ribosomal RNA, 496 nt
Filed under: uncultured bacterium
Lineage: Bacteria
Description: partial 16S ribosomal RNA
Rfam family: Bacterial small subunit ribosomal RNA
Source: RNAcentral
GAUGAACGCUGGCGGCGUGCCUAAUACAUGCAAGUCGAGCGAACGGACGAGAAGCUUGCUUCUCUGAUGUUAGCGGCGGACGGGUGAGUAACACGUGGAUAACCUACCUAUAAGACUGGGAUAACUUCGGGAAACCGGAGCUAAUACCGGAUAAUAUUUUGAACCGCAUGGUUCAAAAGUAAAAGACGGUCUUGCUGUCACUUAUAGAUGGAUCCGCGCUGCAUUAGCUAGUUGGUAAGGUAACGGCUUACCAAGGCAACGAUGCAUAGCCGACCUGAGAGGGUGAUCGGCCACACUGGAACUGAGACACGGUCCAGACUCCUACGGGAGGCAGCAGUAGGGAAUCUUCCGCAGUGGGCGAAAGCCUGACGGAGCAACGCCGCGUGAGUGAUGAAGGUCUUCGGAUCGUAAAACUCUGUUAUUAGGGAAGAACAUAUGUGUAAGUAACUGUGCACAUCUGGACGGUACCUAAUCAGAAAGCCACGGCUAACUACGU